RNAcentral lists this ribosomal RNA (253 nucleotides) under uncultured prokaryote. RNAcentral's name for it is "partial 16S ribosomal RNA". It matches the Rfam family "Bacterial small subunit ribosomal RNA", at positions 524 to 776 of the family's 1533-position model. The record is from RNAcentral.
UACGGAGGAUGCGAGCGUUAUCCGGAUUUAUUGGGUUUAAAGGGUGCGUAGGCGGAACAAUAAGUCAGUGGUGAAAGACUGCAGCUUAACUGUAGACUUGCCGUUGAUACUGUUGAUCUUGAGUAUGGUCAAGGCAGGCGGAAUGUGUAAUGUAGCGGUGAAAUGCUUAGAUAUUACACAGAACACCGAUAGCGAAGGCAGCUUGCUGGGCCUGUACUGACGCUGAUGCACGAAAGCGUGGGGAUCGAACAGG